Long non-coding RNA from Vombatus ursinus (common wombat), 415 nucleotides. RefSeq lists it as uncharacterized. The transcript has 3 exons. The record is from RefSeq and is a predicted model, not a curated record. NCBI's taxonomy places the organism in Eukaryota, Metazoa, Chordata, Mammalia, Diprotodontia, Vombatidae.
AAAUAAGGCACCUGCAGAUUUUCUGUUUCUCUGGAAAUGGUGUGCCCCAUGGACCUGUGAGAAAAGCACACAGACACGACCAAAGAGAGGUAUCAUAGCACAGGAAGACAUGGAUUCAAAUCCUGCUUCUAAAACCUACUUCCAGGUUGUGCACAUCAUGGACAGAGGUGGAGUCAAGACUCAAAAAUGCUAGAAAUGGAAGGAACCUUCAGAGGUCUUCACCUAGGGUACAGAAGCUACCAUCCACCUCCAUCCCUCCCAGCUCCAGUCUCAUCCAUGGAGCCCCUGCAAUCUGACCACCCAGAAAAAUAAAGAGAGAUCUUCACUUGUGGGGAAUGAGAUUGUGAAAGCUCAUUCCAUCCAUCAACAUUCUAAAUGGAACAUCAGAGCUAUGUAACUCUACAUGCUUUUCUUG